This 292-nucleotide ribosomal RNA is filed under the name uncultured Streptococcus sp. RNAcentral describes it as "partial 23S ribosomal RNA". It matches the Rfam family "Bacterial large subunit ribosomal RNA", at positions 1185 to 1480 of the family's 2925-position model. Lineage: Bacteria; Bacillati; Bacillota; Bacilli; Lactobacillales; Streptococcaceae. The record is from RNAcentral.
AGCAGUCUACCGAAGCUGUGGAAUAAAUGAUUUUUAAUCAUGUAUUGGUAGGGGAGCGUUCCGCAACGGUGUGAAGCACUAGCGACAAGCAGGUGUGGACUGUGCGGAAGUGAGAAUGCCGGUAUGAGUAGACGAAAGACAGGUGAGAAUCCUGUCCACCGUAAGACGUAAGGUUCCGAGGGGAAGGCUCGUCCGCCCUGGGUUAGUCGGGACCUAAGGAGAGACCGAAAGGUGUAUCCGAUGUCGACGCGGCCGCGAAUUACUGUGAUAUUUCUCAUGGUCGACGCGGCCG